UACGAAGGGUGCUAGCGUUGUUCGGAAUUACUGGGCGUAAAGAGCGCGUAGGCGGUUGUACUAGUCAGGGGUGAAAUCCCACAGCUUAACUGUGGAACUGCCUUUGAAACUGUGCAGCUGGAGUGUGUGAGGGGAUAGCGGAAUUCCUAAUGUAGAGGUGAAAUUCGUAGAUAUUAGGAGGAACACCGGGUGGCGAAGGCGGCUAUCUGGCACACAACUGACGCUGAGGCGCGAAAGCGUGGGGAUCAAACAGG
This 254-nucleotide ribosomal RNA is filed under the name uncultured bacterium. Its description in RNAcentral is "partial 16S ribosomal RNA". It matches the Rfam family "Bacterial small subunit ribosomal RNA", at positions 524 to 776 of the family's 1533-position model. The record is from RNAcentral.